Molecule: ribosomal RNA, 2513 nt
Filed under: Escherichia coli
Lineage: Bacteria; Pseudomonadati; Pseudomonadota; Gammaproteobacteria; Enterobacterales; Enterobacteriaceae
Description: partial 23S ribosomal RNA
Rfam family: Bacterial large subunit ribosomal RNA
Source: RNAcentral
CGGGACACGUGGUAUCCUGUCUGAAUAUGGGGGGACCAUCCUCCAAGGCUAAAUACUCCUGACUGACCGAUAGUGAACCAGUACCGUGAGGGAAAGGCGAAAAGAACCCCGGCGAGGGGAGUGAAAAAGAACCUGAAACCGUGUACGUACAAGCAGUGGGAGCCUCUUUAUGGGGUGACUGCGUACCUUUUGUAUAAUGGGUCAGCGACUUAUAUUCUGUAGCAAGGUUAACCGAAUAGGGGAGCCGAAGGGAAACCGAGUCUUAACUGGGCGUUAAGUUGCAGGGUAUAGACCCGAAACCCGGUGAUCUAGCCAUGGGCAGGUUGAAGGUUGGGUAACACUAACUGGAGGACCGAACCGACUAAUGUUGAAAAAUUAGCGGAUGACUUGUGGCUGGGGGUGAAAGGCCAAUCAAACCGGGAGAUAGCUGGUUCUCCCCGAAAGCUAUUUAGGUAGCGCCUCGUGAAUUCAUCUCCGGGGGUAGAGCACUGUUUCGGCAAGGGGGUCAUCCCGACUUACCAACCCGAUGCAAACUGCGAAUACCGGAGAAUGUUAUCACGGGAGACACACGGCGGGUGCUAACGUCCGUCGUGAAGAGGGAAACAACCCAGACCGCCAGCUAAGGUCCCAAAGUCAUGGUUAAGUGGGAAACGAUGUGGGAAGGCCCAGACAGCCAGGAUGUUGGCUUAGAAGCAGCCAUCAUUUAAAGAAAGCGUAAUAGCUCACUGGUCGAGUCGGCCUGCGCGGAAGAUGUAACGGGGCUAAACCAUGCACCGAAGCUGCGGCAGCGACGCUUAUGCGUUGUUGGGUAGGGGAGCGUUCUGUAAGCCUGCGAAGGUGUGCUGUGAGGCAUGCUGGAGGUAUCAGAAGUGCGAAUGCUGACAUAAGUAACGAUAAAGCGGGUGAAAAGCCCGCUCGCCGGAAGACCAAGGGUUCCUGUCCAACGUUAAUCGGGGCAGGGUGAGUCGACCCCUAAGGCGAGGCCGAAAGGCGUAGUCGAUGGGAAACAGGUUAAUAUUCCUGUACUUGGUGUUACUGCGAAGGGGGGACGGAGAAGGCUAUGUUGGCCGGGCGACGGUUGUCCCGGUUUAAGCGUGUAGGCUGGUUUUCCAGGCAAAUCCGGAAAAUCAAGGCUGAGGCGUGAUGACGAGGCACUACGGUGCUGAAGCAACAAAUGCCCUGCUUCCAGGAAAAGCCUCUAAGCAUCAGGUAACAUCAAAUCGUACCCCAAACCGACACAGGUGGUCAGGUAGAGAAUACCAAGGCGCUUGAGAGAACUCGGGUGAAGGAACUAGGCAAAAUGGUGCCGUAACUUCGGGAGAAGGCACGCUGAUAUGUAGGUGAAGCGACUUGCUCGUGGAGCUGAAAUCAGUCGAAGAUACCAGCUGGCUGCAACUGUUUAUUAAAAACACAGCACUGUGCAAACACGAAAGUGGACGUAUACGGUGUGACGCCUGCCCGGUGCCGGAAGGUUAAUUGAUGGGGUUAGCGGUAACGCGAAGCUCUUGAUCGAAGCCCCGGUAAACGGCGGCCGUAACUAUAACGGUCCUAAGGUAGCGAAAUUCCUUGUCGGGUAAGUUCCGACCUGCACGAAUGGCGUAAUGAUGGCCAGGCUGUCUCCACCCGAGACUCAGUGAAAUUGAACUCGCUGUGAAGAUGCAGUGUACCCGCGGCAAGACGGAAAGACCCCGUGAACCUUUACUAUAGCUUGACACUGAACAUUGAGCCUUGAUGUGUAGGAUAGGUGGGAGGCUUUGAAGUGUGGACGCCAGUCUGCAUGGAGCCGGCCUUGAAAUACCACCCUUUAAUGUUUGAUGUUCUAACGUUGGCCCCUGAUCGGGGUUGCGGACAGUGUCUGGUGGGUAGUUUGACUGGGGCGGUCUCCUCCUAAAGAGUAACGGAGGAGCACGAAGGUUGGCUAAUCCUGGUCGGACAUCAGGAGGUUAGUGCAAUGGCAUAAGCCAGCUUGACUGCGAGCGUGACGGCGCGAGCAGGUGCGAAAGCAGGUCAUAGUGAUCCGGUGGUUCUGAAUGGAAGGGCCAUCGCUCAACGGAUAAAAGGUACUCCGGGGAUAACAGGCUGAUACCGCCCAAGAGUUCAUAUCGACGGCGGUGUUUGGCACCUCGAUGUCGGCUCAUCACAUCCUGGGGCUGAAGUAGGUCCCAAGGGUAUGGCUGUUCGCCAUUUAAAGUGGUACGCGAGCUGGGUUUAGAACGUCGUGAGACAGUUCGGUCCCUAUCUGCCGUGGGCGCUGGAGAACUGAGGGGGGCUGCUCCUAGUACGAGAGGACCGGAGUGGACGCAUCACUGGUGUUCGGGUUGUCAUGCCAAUGGCACUGCCCGGUAGCUAAAUGCGGAAGAGAUAAGUGCUGAAAGCAUCUAAGCACGAAACUUGCCCCGAGAUGAGUUCUCCCUGAGACUUUAAGUCUCCUGAAGGAACGUUGAAGACGACGACGUUGAUAGGCCGGGUGUGUAAGCGCAGCGAUGCGUUGAGCUAACCGGUACUAAUGAACC